RNAcentral lists this ribosomal RNA (465 nucleotides) under uncultured bacterium. Its description in RNAcentral is "partial 16S ribosomal RNA". It matches the Rfam family "Bacterial small subunit ribosomal RNA", at positions 28 to 507 of the family's 1533-position model. The record is from RNAcentral.
GACGAACGCUGGCGGCGUGCUUAACACAUGCAAGUCGAACGGAAAGGCCCUGCUUGCAGGGUACUCGAGUGGCGGACGGGUGAGUAACACGUGGGUGAUCUGCCCUGCACUUCGGGAUAAGCCUGGGAAACUGGGUCUAAUACCGGAUAGGAGCCAUUUUUAGUGUGAUGGUUGGAAAGUUUUUUCGGUGUAGGAUGAGCUCGCGGCCUAUCAGCUGGUUGGUGGGGUAAUGGCCUACCAAGGCGGCGACGGGUAGCCGGCCUGAGAGGGUGGACGGCCACAUUGGGACUGAGAGACGGCCCAGACUCCUACGGGAGGCAGCAGUGGGGAAUAUUGCACAAUGGGCGCAAGCCUGAUGCAGCGACGCCGCGUGGGGGAUGACGGCCUUCGGGUUGUAAACUCCUUUCGCUAGGGACGAAGCUUUUUGUGACGGUACCUAGAUAAGAAGCACCGGCUAACUACGUG